Molecule: ribosomal RNA, 460 nt
Filed under: uncultured bacterium
Lineage: Bacteria
Description: partial 16S ribosomal RNA
Rfam family: Bacterial small subunit ribosomal RNA
Source: RNAcentral
CCUACGGGAGGCAGCAGUGAGGAAUAUUGGUCAAUGGCCGGAAGGCUGAACCAGCCAUGCCGCGUGAAGGUCAGUGCCCUAUGGGCUUUAAACUUCUUUUGUGCGGGAGCAAUAAUGGUCACGUGUGGCCAGACGAGAGUACCGUACGAAUAAGCAUCGGCUAACACCGUGCCAGCAGCCCCGGUAAUACGGGGGAUGCAAGCGUUAUCCGGAGUUUUUGGGGUUAAAGGGUGCGUAGGCUGUGAGUGAAGUUAGCGGGGAAAUGCCCCCGGUCAACGGGGUGAAGUGCCAUUGAUACUGGCUGGCUGGAAUGCGGAUGCCGUGGGAGGAAUGUGUGGUGUAGCGGUGAAAUGCACAGAUAUCACACAGAACACCGAUUGCGAAGGCAUCUCACGAAUCCGCGAUUGACGCUGAUGCACGAAAGCGUGGGUAUCAAACAGGAUUAGAUACCCCAGUAGUC